UGGGAUUGCCCUAGUAACGGCGAGUGAAGCGGCAAUAGCUCAAAUUUGAAAUCUGGCUCCCUCUGGGGGUCCGAGUUGUAAUUUGCAGAGGGUGCUUUGGCGUUGGUGGCGGUCUAAGUUCCUUGGAACAGGACAUCGCAGAGGGUGAGAAUCCCGUUUGUGGUCGCCUGCCUUCGCCGUGUAAAGCCCCUUCGACGAGUCGAGUUGUUUGGGAAUGCAGCUCUAAAUGGGAGGUAAAUUUCUUCUAAAGCUAAAUACUGGCCAGAGACCGAUAGCGCACAAGUAGAGUGAUCGAAAGAUGAAAAGCACUUUGGAAAGAGAGUCAAACAGCACGUGAAAUUGUUGAAAGGGAAGCGCUUGCAGCCAGACUUGCCCGUAGUUGCUCACCCAGGCUUUUGCCCGGGGCACUCUUCUGCGGGCAGGCCAGCAUCAGUUUGGGCGGUCGGAUAAAGGCCUCUGUCACGUAUCUUCCUUCGGGAUGACCUUAUAGGGGAGGCGACAUGCGACCAGCCCGGACUGAGGUCCGCGCUUCUGCUAGGAUGCUGGCGUAAUGGCUGUAAGCGGCCCGUCUUGAAACACGGACCAAGGAGUCUAACAUCUAUGCGAGUGUUUGGGUGUCAAGCCCGAGCGCGUAAUGAAAGUGAACGGAGGUGGGAACCCUUUGGGUGCACCAUCGACCGAUCCUGAUGUCUUCGGAUGGAUUUGAGUAAGAGCAUAGCUGUUGGGACCCGAAAGAUGGUGAACUAUGCUUGAAUAGGGUGAAGCCAGAGGAAACUCUGGUGGAGGCUCGCAGCGGUUCUGACGUGCAAAUCGAUCGU
Molecule: ribosomal RNA, 818 nt
Filed under: Helminthosporium sp.
Lineage: Eukaryota; Fungi; Ascomycota; Dothideomycetes; Pleosporales; Massarinaceae
Description: partial large subunit ribosomal RNA
Rfam family: Eukaryotic large subunit ribosomal RNA
Source: RNAcentral